AGUGAACGCUGGCGGUAGGCCUAACACAUGCAAGUCGAACGGCAGCACAGUAAGAGCUUGCUCUUACGGGUGGCGAGUGGCGGACGGGUGAGGAAUACAUCGGAAUCUACUUUUUCGUGGGGGAUAACGUAGGGAAACUUACGCUAAUACCGCAUACGACCUACGGGUGAAAGCAUGGGAUCUUCGGACCUUGCGCGAUUGAAUGAGCCGAGGUCGGAUUAGCUAGUUGGCGGGGUAAAGGCCCACCAAGGCGACGAUCCGUAGCUGGUCUGAGAGGAUGAUCAGCCACACUGGAACUGAGACACGGUCCAGACUCCUACGGGAGGCAGCAGUGGGGAAUAUUGGACAAUGGGCGCAAGCCUGAUCCAGCCAUACCGCGUGGGUGAAGAAGGCCUUCGGGUUGUAAAGCCCUUUUGUUGGGAAAGAAAAGCAGCAGGUUAAUACCCCGCUGUUCUGACGGUACCAAAAGAAUAAGCACCGGCUAACUUCGUG
RNAcentral lists this ribosomal RNA (492 nucleotides) under uncultured bacterium. RNAcentral's name for it is "partial 16S ribosomal RNA". It matches the Rfam family "Bacterial small subunit ribosomal RNA", at positions 29 to 507 of the family's 1533-position model. The record is from RNAcentral.